CACAUGCAAGUCGAACGGUAGCACAGAGGAGCUUGCUCCUUGGGUGACGAGUGGCGGACGGGUGAGUAAUGUCUGGGAAACUGCCCGAUGGAGGGGGAUAACUACUGGAAACGGUAGCUAAUACCGCAUAACGUCGCAAGACCAAAGAGGGGGACCUUCGGGCCUCUUGCCAUCGGAUGUGCCCAGAUGGGAUUAGCUAGUAGGUGGGGUAACGGCUCACCUAGGCGACGAUCCCUAGCUGGUCUGAGAGGAUGACCAGCCACACUGGAACUGAGACACGGUCCAGACUCCUACGGGAGGCAGCAGUGGGGAAUAUUGCACAAUGGGCGCAAGCCUGAUGCAGCCAUGCCGCGUGUAUGAAGAAGGCCUUCGGGUUGUAAAGUACUUUCAGCGAGGAGGAAGGCGUUGUGGUUAAUAACCGCAACGAUUGACGUUACUCGCAGAAGAAGCACCGGCUAACUCCGUGCCAGCAGCCGCGGUAAUACGGAGGGUGCAAGCGUUAAUCGGAAUUACUGGGCGUAAAGCGCACGCAGGCGGUCUGUCAAGUCGGAUGUGAAAUCCCCGGGCUCAACCUGGGAACUGCAUCCGAAACUGGCAGGCUAGAGUCUUGUAGAGGGGGGUAGAAUUCCAGGUGUAGCGGUGAAAUGCGUAGAGAUCUGGAGGAAUACCGGUGGCGAAGGCGGCCCCCUGGACAAAGACUGACGCUCAGGUGCGAAAGCGUGGGGAGCAAACAGGAUU
This 738-nucleotide ribosomal RNA is filed under the name Citrobacter freundii. RNAcentral's name for it is "bacterial SSU rRNA". It matches the Rfam family "Bacterial small subunit ribosomal RNA", at positions 52 to 779 of the family's 1533-position model. The record is from RNAcentral. Lineage: Bacteria; Pseudomonadati; Pseudomonadota; Gammaproteobacteria; Enterobacterales; Enterobacteriaceae.